AGUGAACGCUGGCGGUAGGCCUAACACAUGCAAGUCGAACGGCAGCACAGUAAGAGCUUGCUCUUACGGGUGGCGAGUGGCGGACGGGUGAGGAAUACAUCGGAAUCUACUUUUUCGUGGGGGAUAACGUAGGGAGACUUAUGCUAAUACAGCAUACGACCUACGGGUGAAAGCAGGGGAUCUUCGGACCUUGCGCGAAUGAAUGAGCCGAUGCCGGAUUAGCUAGUUGGCGGGGUAAAGGCCCACCAAGGCGACGAUCCGUAGCUGGUCUGAGAGGAUGGUCCGCCAGAUGGGAACUGAGAAAGGCUCGAGACUCUUAGGGGAGGCAGCAGUGGGGAAUAUUGGACAAUGGGGGCAAGCCUGAUCCAGCCAUACGGCGGGGGUGAAGAAGGCCUUCGGGUGGUAAAGCCCUUUUGUUGGGAAAGAAGAGCAGCAGGUUAAUACCCCGCUGUUCUGACGGUACCCAAAGAAUAAGCACCGGCUAACUUCGUG
RNAcentral lists this ribosomal RNA (492 nucleotides) under uncultured bacterium. RNAcentral describes it as "partial 16S ribosomal RNA". It matches the Rfam family "Bacterial small subunit ribosomal RNA", at positions 29 to 507 of the family's 1533-position model. The record is from RNAcentral.